Molecule: ribosomal RNA, 238 nt
Filed under: uncultured Lactobacillus sp.
Lineage: Bacteria; Bacillati; Bacillota; Bacilli; Lactobacillales; Lactobacillaceae
Description: partial 16S ribosomal RNA
Rfam family: Bacterial small subunit ribosomal RNA
Source: RNAcentral
CCGUAGCCCAAGAGAUCGGGAUAACACCUGGAAACAGAUGCUAAUACCGGAUAACAACAGAUGAUGCCUAUCAACUGUUUAAAAGAUGGUUCUGCUAUCACUCUUGGAUGGACCUGCGGUGCAUUAGCUAGUUGGUAGGGUAACGGCCUACCAAGGCGAUGNUGCAUAGCCGAGUUGAGAGACUGAUCGGCCACAUUGGGACUGAGACACGGCCCAAACUCCUACGGGAGGCAGCAGC